This 253-nucleotide ribosomal RNA is filed under the name uncultured bacterium. Its description in RNAcentral is "partial 16S ribosomal RNA". It matches the Rfam family "Bacterial small subunit ribosomal RNA", at positions 524 to 776 of the family's 1533-position model. The record is from RNAcentral.
UACGUAGGGUGCGAGCGUUGUCCGGAGUUACUGGGCGUAAAGGGCAUGCAGGCGGUCGGACGCGUUUCGGGUGACAGCGGGUGGCUUAACUACCCGAGUGGUCGAAAGACGGUUUGACUUGAGGACGCGAGAGGGACACGGAAUUCCGGGUGGAGUGGUGAAAUGCGUAGAGAUCCGGAGGAACACCGAUGGCGAAGGCAGCUCGCUGGGACGGUACUGACGCUGAGGCGCGAAAGCGUGGGGAGCGAACAGG